GCAUCCAUAGCUCAGUUGGAUAGAGCAGCGGCCUUCGAAGUCGCGUGUCAGGGGUUCGAGUCCCUUUGGGUGCACCA
Molecule: transfer RNA, 77 nt
Filed under: Clostridia bacterium
Lineage: Bacteria; Bacillati; Bacillota; Clostridia
Also listed under: 2 other names
Description: tRNA-Arg
Rfam family: tRNA
About the family: Transfer RNA (tRNA) molecules are approximately 80 nucleotides in length. Their secondary structure includes four short double-helical elements and three loops (D, anti-codon, and T loops). Further hydrogen bonds mediate the characteristic L-shaped molecular structure. tRNAs have two regions of fundamental functional importance: the anti-codon, which is responsible for specific mRNA codon recognition, and the 3' end, to which the tRNAs corresponding amino acid is attached (by aminoacyl-tRNA synthetases). tRNAs cope with the degeneracy of the genetic code in two manners: having more than one tRNA (with a specific anti-codon) for a particular amino acid; and 'wobble' base-pairing, i.e. permitting non-standard base-pairing at the 3rd anti-codon position.
Source: RNAcentral